GACGAACGCUGGCGGCGUGCCUAAUACAUGCAAGUAGAACGCUGAAGGAGGAGCUUGCUCUGCUGGAUGAGUUGCGAACGGGUGAGUAACGCGUAGGUAACCUGCCUGGUAGCGGGGGAUAACUAUUGGAAACGAUAGCUAAUACCGCAUAACAGCAGAUGUUGCAUGACAUUUGCUGAAAAGGUGCAAUUGCAUCACUACCAGAUGGACCUUCGUUGUAUUAGCUAGUUGGUGGGGUAACGGCUCACCAAGGCGACGAUACAUAGCCGCACUGAGAGGGGGAGUGGCCACACUGGGACUGAGACACGGCCCAGACUCAUACGGGUGGGAGCAGUAGGGAUUCGUCGGCAAGGGGUGGAAGUUUGACCGAGAUACGCCGCGUGCGGGAACAGGGUUUUCGGAUCGUAAAUCUCGGUCGUAAGGGAAGAACGCGUGUUCGCGUGGAAAGUUCACACUGUGACGGUAACUGACAAGAAAGGGACGGCUAACUACGUG
RNAcentral lists this ribosomal RNA (495 nucleotides) under uncultured bacterium. Its description in RNAcentral is "partial 16S ribosomal RNA". It matches the Rfam family "Bacterial small subunit ribosomal RNA", at positions 28 to 507 of the family's 1533-position model. The record is from RNAcentral.